This 301-nucleotide ribosomal RNA is filed under the name uncultured bacterium. RNAcentral describes it as "partial 16S ribosomal RNA". It matches the Rfam family "Bacterial small subunit ribosomal RNA", at positions 509 to 807 of the family's 1533-position model. The record is from RNAcentral.
CAGCAGCCGCGGGAAUACGAAGGGGGCUAGCGUUGCUCGGAAUGACUGGGCGUAAAGGGCGCGUAGGCGGCGGACACAGUCAGGCGUGAAAUUCCUGGGCUCAACCUGGGGACUGCGCUUGAUACGGUCGAGCUAGAGGAUGGAAGAGGGUCGUGGAAUUCCCAGUGUAGAGGUGAAAUUCGUAGAUAUUGGGAAGAACACCGGUGGCGAAGGCGGCGACCUGGUCCGUUACUGACGCUGAGGCGCGACAGCGUGGGGAGCAAACAGGAUUAGAUACCCGCGUAGUCCCUGUCUCUUAUAC